GUUCAGGGAUGGGAAUCGAACCCACAUUGUUCCGCUUACCGGGCAGAUGCCAUGUCCACUAGGCUACCCUGGA
Non-coding RNA from Cordylochernes scorpioides, 73 nucleotides. The record is from the annotation of a GenBank genome assembly. NCBI's taxonomy places the organism in Eukaryota, Metazoa, Arthropoda, Arachnida, Pseudoscorpiones, Chernetidae.